GACAGUACAGCUCAGUGGUAAAGUGCAUGCCUAGCAGGCAUGAGUCCUGGGUUCAAUCCCCAGUAUCUUUG
This 71-nucleotide transfer RNA is filed under the name Camelus bactrianus (Bactrian camel). It matches the Rfam family "tRNA". From Rfam's summary of the family: Transfer RNA (tRNA) molecules are approximately 80 nucleotides in length. Their secondary structure includes four short double-helical elements and three loops (D, anti-codon, and T loops). The record is from Rfam by way of RNAcentral. Lineage: Eukaryota; Metazoa; Chordata; Mammalia; Artiodactyla; Camelidae. RNAcentral also lists the same sequence under 2 other names.